CAUGGCGCGUGCUACCAUGCAAGUCGAACGGGGUAUGAAUAAUACCUAGUGGCGAACGGGUGAGUAACGCGUGAGCAACCUGACCUUUUGAGGGGGAUAACAACCGGAAACGGUUGCUAAUACCGCAUAAGACCACACUGUCACAUGGCAGAGGGGUCAAAGGAGCAAUCCGCAGAAGGAGGGGCUCGCGUCCCAUUAGAUAGUUGGUGAGGUAACGGCUCACCAAGUCAGCGAUGGGUAGCCGAGCUGAGAGGCUGAUCGGCCACACUGGAACUGAGACACGGUCCAGACUCCUACGGGAGGCAGCAGUGGGGAAUAUUGGGCAAUGGGGGAAACCCUGACCCAGCAACGCCGCGUGAGUGAAGAAGGCCUUCGGGUUGUAAAGCUCUGUCGCAGGGGAAGAAAAAAAUGACGGUACCCUGUGAGGAAGCCCCGGCUAACUACGUGCCAGCAGCCGCGGUAAUACGUAGGGGGCGAGCGUUGUCCGGAAUUACUGGGCGUAAAGGGUGCGUAGGCGGCAUGUUAAGUUGGAUGUGAAAUACCCGGGCUUAACCUGGGGGGUGCAUUCAAAACUGGCAGGCUAGAGUGCAGGAGAGGGAAGCGGAAUUCCUAGUGUAGCGGUGAAAUGCGUAGAUAUUAGGAGGAACACCAGUGGCGAAGGCGGCUUUCUGGACUGUAACUGACGCUGAUGCACGAAAGCGUGGGGAGCAAACAGGAUUAGAUACCCUGGUAGUCCACGCUGUAAACGAUGAAUACUAGGUGUAGGGGGUAUGAACUCCCCCUGUGCCGCAGCUAACGCAAUAAGUAUUCCGCCCUGGGG
RNAcentral lists this ribosomal RNA (820 nucleotides) under uncultured Clostridium sp. Its description in RNAcentral is "bacterial SSU rRNA". It matches the Rfam family "Bacterial small subunit ribosomal RNA", at positions 38 to 873 of the family's 1533-position model. The record is from RNAcentral. Lineage: Bacteria; Bacillati; Bacillota; Clostridia; Eubacteriales; Clostridiaceae.